This 433-nucleotide ribosomal RNA is filed under the name uncultured bacterium. RNAcentral describes it as "partial 16S ribosomal RNA". It matches the Rfam family "Bacterial small subunit ribosomal RNA", at positions 29 to 507 of the family's 1533-position model. The record is from RNAcentral.
AACGAACGCUGGCGGCAUGCCUAACACAUGCAAGUCGAACGAGACCUUCGGGUCUAGUGGCGCACGGGUGCGUAACGCGUGGGAACCUGCCCUUAGGUUCGGAAUAACUCCCCGAAAGGGGUGGUAAUACCGGAUAAUGUCUUCGGACCAAAGAGUGAGCGCCUUUGGAUGGGCCCGCGUUUGAUUAGCUAGUGGGUAGGGUAAAAUCCUACCGAGGCGACGAUCCAUAGCUGGUCUGAGAGGAUGAAAAGACACACUGGGACUGAGACACGGCACACACCUCUACGAGAGGCAGGAGGGGGGAAUAUUGGAAUAGGGGCGAGAGCGUGGGCCCGCUAUGGCGUGGGGGUGAAGGAGGCCUUAGUGGUGAACAGCUCUUUUAGGCGGGGAGAUAAUGACGGUACCGGGGGAAUAAGCGCCGGCUAACUCCGUG